ACAUACGACCAUACCCGCGGUGAAGCUCAGGAUCCCGUUUGCUCUCCAUACGAUAAACCCGUGAGGGACAGAUUAGUAGUUGGGUCGGUGACGACCAGCGAAUACCGGUUGUUGUAUGUU
This 120-nucleotide ribosomal RNA is filed under the name Tolypocladium ophioglossoides CBS 100239. Lineage: Eukaryota; Fungi; Ascomycota; Sordariomycetes; Hypocreales; Ophiocordycipitaceae. The record is from RNAcentral.